GCUAAAGAUAAUGGUCUCCAGCUCCACCCAUGUUCCCGCAAAGACAUGAUCUUGUUCUUUUCUAUAAAGCCAAGAUUUAAGAUCCAACAAUCCAGUUCUAGAAUCUUAAGCCUCUUUAGCAUAGGGUAAAUAUGUACAUCAAGUACAAUUACGGCAGUGGAAUCAAAUAGGCUCUCCUGCAAUCUCAAACUUGCUUAUACUUUAACUCAUAUAUGGUUAGGUUUCAAACACGUGGGAGAGACAGAAGAACCCUAGGAAUUUAGAGAUGGAACUUGAUAAAGGCAUUUCUCAGAAGAAUUUCAGACAGCAGGAACUUGACUUCAAAGGUUGGUGUGACGUGGGCAGACACAGAGGGGGAAGCACAGCCCAAGUACGAGCGGACGGCAGGAUGGGUGGAGGCAGCAAUGCAAUGGAGUGAGGAGAGGAAGUGUGGACUAUGGAAAUGAUGUUAGACAAAAAGCAAAUUCAAGCAAUAUUCUUAUUUGAGUUCGAAAUGGGUCAUAAAGACAACUCACAACAUCAACAAUGCAUUUGGUCUGAGAACUGCUAAUGAAUGUACAGUGCAAUGGUGGUUCAAGAAGUUUUGCCAAGGAGAUGAGAGCCUUGAAGAUGAGGAGCGUAGUGGCUGGCCAUUGGAAAGUGACAACGACCAUUUGAGAGUAGUCAUUGAAGCUGAUCCUCUUACAAGUACAAGAGAAGUUGCCCAAGAACUCAGUGUCAAUCAUUCUAUAGUGUUCAGCAUUUGAAGCAAAUUGGAAAGGUGAAAAAGGUCAAUAAGUGGGUGCCUCAUGAGCUGACUGAAAAUACAAAAAUCAUCUUUUUGAAGUGUCAUCUUCCAUUGUUCUAUGCAACAACAACAAACUAUUUCUCGAUCAGAUUGUGAUAUGCAACGAAAAGUGGAUUUUAUAUGACAACUGGCAAUGACCAGCUCAGUGGCUGGCCUGAGAAGAAGUUCCAAAGCACUUCCCAAAGCCAAGCUUGCACCAAAAAAAGGUCAUGGCCACUGUUUGGUGGUCUGUUGCUGGUCUGAUCCACUACAGCUUUCUGAAUCUCACUGCAACUGUUACAUCUGAGAAGUAUGCUCAGCAAAUCAAUGAGAUGCACUGAAAACUGCAAUGCCUGCAGCUAGCACUGGUCAACAAAAAGGGCCCAAUUCUUUUCCACAACGCCUGACUGCACAUCACACAACCAGUGCAUCAGAAGUUGAAUGAAUUGGGCCAUGAAGUUUUGCCUCAACCGCCACAUUCAUCUGACCUCUGCCAACCAACUACUACUUCCUCAAGCAUCUCAACAACUUUUUGCAGGGAAAAUGCUUCCACAACCAGCAGGAUGCAGAAAAUGCUUUUCAAGAGUUCAUUGAAUCCUGAAGCACGGAUUUCUAUACUACAGUAAUGAAAAAAUGUAUUUCUCAUUGGCAAAAAUGUGUGGAUUGUAAUGGUUCCUAUUCUGAUUAAUAAAGAUGUGUUUAAGCCUCGUU
Molecule: long non-coding RNA, 1477 nt
Filed under: Homo sapiens (human)
Lineage: Eukaryota; Metazoa; Chordata; Mammalia; Primates; Hominidae
Description: HSALNT0092805
Source: RNAcentral